GACGAACGCUGGCGGCGUGCUUAACACAUGCAAGUCGAACGAUGAAGCCGGAGCUUGCUCUGGUGAAUUAGUGGCGAACGGGUGAGUAACACGUGAGUAACCUGCCCUUGACUCUGGGAUAACUGCGGGAAACUGUAGCUAAUACCGGAUACGACCCUCGGAGGCAUCUCCUGGGGGUGGAAAGAAUUUCGGUCAAGGAUGGACUCGCGGCCUAUCAGCUAGUUGGUGAGGUAAAGGCUCACCAAGGCGACGACGGGUAGCCGGCCUGAGAGGGUAAGAGGCCAGACGGGGACUGAGACGCGGCCCAGACUCCUACGGGAGGCAGCAGUGGGGAAUAUUGCACGAUGGGCGCAAGCCUGAUGCAGCAACGCCGCGUGAGGAAUGACGGCCUUCGGGUUGUAAACCUCUUUUAGCAGGGAAGAAGCGAAAGUGACGGUACCUGCAGAGAAAGCACCGGCUAACUACGUGCCAGCAGCCGCCGUAA
RNAcentral lists this ribosomal RNA (484 nucleotides) under uncultured bacterium. Its description in RNAcentral is "partial 16S ribosomal RNA". It matches the Rfam family "Bacterial small subunit ribosomal RNA", at positions 28 to 523 of the family's 1533-position model. The record is from RNAcentral.